RNAcentral lists this small RNA (597 nucleotides) under Pan troglodytes (chimpanzee). Its description in RNAcentral is "retained intron". Lineage: Eukaryota; Metazoa; Chordata; Mammalia; Primates; Hominidae. The record is from RNAcentral.
GCCUGAGAGAGUCUGUGGUCUCAGGGAUAUUUAGAAAGAGGUGUGGCUCUCUGCCGUUUCCAAUCUCCUCCUCCCCACCCAUUCCUCUCCCUGCUGUUUUCAAGAGAGCAUGGAUGAGGUGUUGCUGGGGCAGGGGUGGGGAGGGAGGAGGGGGUCUCCUUUACUGGCUCCUUUUGGAGACUACAGAUGGAGGCAGGAGCUAGAAAGGAGAAGGGGACAUUGUGCUCAGCACCUUCCUUUAUAAUCUCCUAGCCAAGUUUGGGGCCAAUGCCAUCCUGGGUGUGUCUCUGGCUGUGUGUAAGGCAGGCGCAGCUGAGCGGGAACUGCCCCUGUAUCGCCACAUUGCUCAGCUGGCUGGGAACUCAGACCUCAUCCUGCCUGUGCCGGCCUUCAAUGUGAUCAAUGGUGGCUCUCAUGCUGGCAACAAGCUGGCCAUGCAGGAGUUCAUGAUCCUCCCAGUGGGAGCUGAGAGCUUUCGGGAUGCCAUGCGACUAGGUGCAGAGGUCUACCAUACACUCAAGGGAGUCAUCAAGGACAAAUACGGCAAGGAUGCCACCAAUGUAGGGGAUGAAGGUGGCUUUGCCCCCAAUAUCCUGG